RNAcentral lists this ribosomal RNA (519 nucleotides) under Melampsora helioscopiae. RNAcentral's name for it is "eukaryotic LSU rRNA". It matches the Rfam family "Eukaryotic large subunit ribosomal RNA", at positions 86 to 606 of the family's 3401-position model. Lineage: Eukaryota; Fungi; Basidiomycota; Pucciniomycetes; Pucciniales; Melampsoraceae. The record is from RNAcentral.
ACGGCGAGUGAACAGGGAGAAGCCCAAAUUUGUAAUCUGGCACUUUUUACGAGUGUCCGAGUUGUAAUUUGUAGAACUGUUAUCCGUGCUGGACCAUGUACAAGUCUGUUGAAAAGCAGCAUCAUUGAAGGUGAAAAUCCUGUAGAUGAUAUGGACUACCAGUACUUUUGUGAUACGGUUUCUAAGAGUCGAGUUGUUUGGGAAUGCAGCUCAAAGUGGGUGGUAAAUUCCAUCUAAGGCUAAAUAUAAGUGAGAGACCGAUAGCAAACAAGUACCGUGAGGGAAAGAUGAAAAGAACUUUGAAAAUAGAGUUAACAGUACGUGAAAUUGCUGAAAGGGAAACGUUUGAAGUUAGUUUUGUAUUCGUUGGAUCAGCUUCGCAAGGAGUGUAUUCUGAUGAUAAGCAAGUCAACAUCAGUCUAUGAGUGACGGAGAAGGGUUUUGAGAAUGUAGCAAUUUAAUUGUGUUAUAGCUUGAGACUUGGAUACGAUGCUUUGGAUUGAGGAACGCGUAGUAAGC